This 704-nucleotide ribosomal RNA is filed under the name uncultured bacterium. Its description in RNAcentral is "bacterial SSU rRNA". It matches the Rfam family "Bacterial small subunit ribosomal RNA", at positions 18 to 719 of the family's 1533-position model. The record is from RNAcentral.
CCUGGCUCAGAUUGAACGCUGGCGGCAGGCCUAACACAUGCAAGUCGAGCGGAAACGAUCCUAGCUUGCUAGGAGGCGUCGAGCGGCGGACGGGUGAGUACUGCAUAGGAAUCUGCCCGGUAGUGGGGGAUAACCUGGGGAAACUCAGGCUAAUACCGCAUACGUCCUACGGGAGAAAGGGGGCCUUGGCUCCCGCUAUCGGAUGAGUCUAUGCCGGAUUAGCUGGUUGGUGAGGUAAUGGCUCACCAAGGCGACGAUCCGUAGCUGGUCUGAGAGGAUGAUCAGCCACAUCGGGACUGAGACACGGCCCGAACUCCUACGGGAGGCAGCAGUGGGGAAUAUUGGACAAUGGGGGCAACCCUGAUCCAGCCAUGCCGCGUGUGUGAAGAAGGCCCUCGGGUUGUAAAGCACUUUCAGUGAGGAAGAACGCCUGGCGGUUAAUACCCGCCAGGAAAGACAUCACUCACAGAAGAAGCACCGGCUAACUCCGUGCCAGCAGCCGCGGUAAUACGGAGGGUGCAAGCGUUAAUCGGAAUUACUGGGCGUAAAGCGCGCGUAGGUGGCUUGAUAAGCCGGUUGUGAAAGCCCCGGGCUCAACCUGGGAACGGCAUCCGGAACUGUCAGGCUAGAGUGCAGGAGAGGAAGGUAGAAUUCCCGGUGUAGCGGUGAAAUGCGUAGAGAUCGGGAGGAAUACCAGUGGCGAA